Molecule: long non-coding RNA, 1018 nt
Organism: Halichondria panicea
Lineage: Eukaryota; Metazoa; Porifera; Demospongiae; Suberitida; Halichondriidae
Exons: 4
Source: RefSeq, a predicted model, not a curated record
AGAGGCUAUUGACCCUGAUGGUGGUAAUUAUCAACAACCAAACUCUGCGAAUAAACAAUGUCCAGCCUGGUGAUGAGGGAUUGUACACUUGCUCCAAUGCUGAAGGGAAUGUGUUACCAAUAUCUUGUGUGGUAGUCAGCGGUUUGGCUCGUUUUGCUACUUGUGACCCACCAAAUCCAUUCACGUACAGCCCGGGUGUGGUAUCACGUAGCAACAGCUGCUACGAAGAAAUAAAUGUCACAGAGGGACGAGUUACCCUGGAUACUAGAAUCAUGUACUCUCCAGGUGGGUGUUGCAACUGCAGAGAAGACAUCAACAUAUUUACAAUACGCUUGGAAACCCCAAUCAACUCCAUACUGUAUAAUUGUGAUGAUCAACAGCGAUUGUCCUAAUAAAAAUGGAGUUGUUGUGAAUUGACAAAGCUCUUUAUUUUAUGACUUUAAAGUUGAGCUACAACUAAAUGCAAGUGACAGUGCUCAGCUCAUUUAUGUGGCAAGUGAAUUGAGGCAACCGGGCGAAACGAUUUUAGGUAUUUCUGGAAGAUAUUUAGUGUGACAGUCAAUCAAGUGACGCUGUAUGAUUGUCGUGAUUUGGCCAGUGGAUGUUCAGAAUGUAUUGCGGCCAGAAUAGGGUCAGAGUUCGCAUGUGGGUGGUGUGGGUGGAGGUAUAGUUGUGAGGUGAUGCAAGAGUGCUCCACUGAUCGUUUCGUUAUUGAGGGGGACAAUUCUCCUGCCCCUGUCAUCAACUCGUUCACUCCAAUGUCCGACAUUGUGCCCACUGAAUCCCCUCAUCGCUAUGUCAACCUUCCGUCAGGUAGACCCUCUAACAACUGAGAACAGUGCAUAUGGCCUCAGGGAAGAAAUGACUACAACAGACUAUUAACUUUCACUAUGAAAAAAUGAUGUCGAAUGAUUGUCCUAUACUUACCCUAUAAUUAUCAUGCCGAUAUUUUAAUGUUCUGUUUUAAUUCUGUUUAAUUUUUGCCAAUCGAUUAAAAUAGCGGUUAAACAUGAAUGCC